GGUUAUGCUAAUAAGAGCGUAUGGUGGAUGCCUUGGCACUAAGAGCCGAUGAAAGACGUGAUAAGCUGCGAAAAGCUUCGGGGAGGAGCAAAUAUCCAUUGAUCCGGAGAUUUCUGAAUGGGGAAACCUACUUGAGAAGACCUCAAGUAUCCACAGCCCAAUCCAUAAGCUGUGGAAGGGAACCCGGUGAACUGAAACAUCUAAGUAGCCGGAGGAAGAGAAAACAACAUGUGAUUCCGUAAGUAGCGGCGAGCGAACGCGGAAGAGCCCAAACCGGAGUGCGUGCACUCCGGGGUUCGGACUGCAGGAUUGACGAGUGAGCCUAGUAGAAUGGUUUUGGGAAAGCCAGCCAGAGAGGGUGAAAGCCCCGUACACGAAAGGCAAGCGAGCAUGGCAGGAUCCAGAGUACCACGAGACACGUGAAACCUUGUGGGAAUGAGCGGGGACCACCCCGUAAGGCUAAAUACUCCUUAGUGACCGAUAGCGCAUAGUACUGUGAAGGAAAGGUGAAAAGGACCCCGGGAGGGGAGUGAAAGAGAACCUGAAACCAUAUGUUUACAAGCUGUGGAACAUCUUUAUAUGAUGAACCGCGUACUUUUUGUAGAACGGUCCGGCGAGUUACGCUGGCUGGCGAGGUUAAGGGCUGAAGGCCUGGAGCCGAAGGGAAACCGAGUCUGAACAGGGCGAAAUAGUCAGUCGGAGUAGACCCGAAACCGGGUGAUCUAUCCAUGUCCAGGUUGAAGUUGCCGUAAAAGGCAAUGGAGGACCGAACCCACAUCCGUUGAAAAGGGUGGGGAUGAGGUGUGGAUAGGGGAGAAAUUCCAAUCGAACCCGGAGAUAGCUGGUUCUCCUCGAAAUAGCUUUAGGGCUAGCCUCAUGCAAGUCUUACGGAGGUAGAGCACUGAAUUCCUAAGGGGGCGUCAAAGCUUACCAAGGGAUAUCAAACUCCGAAUGCCGUGUAGAUGGUGCAUGGGAGUCAGACUAUCCGAGAUAAGUUGGGUAGUCAAAAGGGAAAGAGCCCAGACCUACAGCUAAGGUCCCAAAAUGUGUGUUAAGUGGAAAAGGAUGUGGGAUUUCGAAGACAACUAGGAUGUUGGCUUAGAAGCAGCCAUCCAUUAAAAGAGUGCGUAAUAGCUCACUAGUCGAGAGGUCCUGCGCCGAAAAUGUCCGGGGCUGAAACACACUACCGAAGCUUAGGAAUUGACGAAUGUUAAUUGGUAGAGGAGCAUUCUUAACGGGGCGAAGCUGUACCGGAAGGAGCAGUGGACUGUUAAGAAGAGAGAAUGCCGGAAUGAGUAGCGAGAGGAAGGUGAGAAUCCUUCCGGCCGAAUAUCUAAGGUUUCCAGAGUAAAGCUGAUCUGCUCUGGGUAAGUCGGGGCCUAAGGCGAGGUCGAAAGACGUAGUCGAUGGAUAACAGGUAAAGAUUCCUGUACUAUAUCAUAACAGAACUGUGGGGACGCAGACAGAGAGCAUAAGCCGGGAAUGGAAAAACCGGUACAAGCGAGGUAGGAGUGCAUCAGGCAAAUCCGGUGCACAAUCUGAAGACGUGAUGUGGGGCGUAAAGCCGGAAGUAUGUGAGCUGGCUGCCAAGAAAAGCCGCUAUUGUUUAUGAUAUACCCGUACCGUAAACCGACACAGGUGGAUGAGGAGAGAAUCCUAAGGCCGACGG
This 1669-nucleotide ribosomal RNA is filed under the name Faecalimonas nexilis. RNAcentral's name for it is "partial 23S ribosomal RNA". It matches the Rfam family "Bacterial large subunit ribosomal RNA", at positions 1 to 1693 of the family's 2925-position model. The record is from RNAcentral. Lineage: Bacteria; Bacillati; Bacillota; Clostridia; Lachnospirales; Lachnospiraceae.